This 471-nucleotide unclassified non-coding RNA is filed under the name uncultured Glomus. RNAcentral's name for it is "SSU rRNA". It matches the Rfam family "Eukaryotic small subunit ribosomal RNA", at positions 569 to 1046 of the family's 1831-position model. Lineage: Eukaryota; Fungi; Glomeromycota; Glomeromycetes; Glomerales; Glomeraceae. The record is from RNAcentral.
AGCAGCCGCGGUAAUUCCAGCUCCAAUAGCGUAUAUUAAAGUUGCUGCAGUUAAAAAGCUCGUAGUUGAAUUUCGGGACUAAUAUGUCGGUCGUGCCUCGGUACGUACUGGUUUAUUGGUUUCUCCUUUCUGAAGAACCAUGAUGUCAUUUAUUUGGUGUCGUGGGGAAUCAGGACUGUUACUUUGAGAAAAUUAGAGUGUUUAAAGCAGGCUCACGCUUGAAUACAUUAGCAUGGAAUAAUGAAAUAGGACGUUUGAUUCUAUUUUGUUGGUUUCUAGGAUCGACGUAAUGAUUAAUAGGGAUAGUUGGGGGCAUUAGUAUUCAAUUGUCAGAGGUGAAAUUCUUGGAUUUAUUGAAGACUAACUACUGCGAAAGCAUUUGCCAAGGAUGUUUUCAUUAAUCAAGAACGAAAGUUAGGGGAUCGAAGACGAUCAGAUACCGUCGUAGUCUUAACCAUAAACUAUGCCGAC